AAGUCGACCGCCUGGGGAGUACGGCCGCAAGGUUAAAACUCAAAUGAAUUGACGGGGGCCCGCACAAGCGGUGGAGCAUGUGGUUUAAUUCGAUGCAACGCGAAGAACCUUACCUGGCCUUGACAUCCAGAGAACUUAGCAGAGAUGCUUUGGUGCCUUCGGGAACUCUGAGACAGGUGCUGCAUGGCUGUCGUCAGCUCGUGUUGUGAAAUGUUGGGUUAAGUCCCGCAACGAGCGCAACCCUUAUCCUUUGUUGCCAGCGGUUCGGCCGGGAACUCAAAGGAGACUGCCGGUGAUAAACCGGAGGAAGGUGGGGAUGACGUCAAGUCAUCAUGGCCCUUACGGCCAGGGCUACACACGUGCUACAAUGGCGCAUACAAAGAGAAGCGACCUCGCGAGAGCAAGCGGACCUCAUAAAGUGCGUCGUAGUCCGGAUUGGAGUCUGCAACUCGACUCCAUGAAGUCGGAAUCGCUAGUAAUCGUAGAUCAGAAUGCUACGGUGAAUACGUUCCCGGGCCUUGUACACACCGCCCGUCACACCAUGGGAGUGGGUUGCAAAAGAAGUAGGUAGCUUAACCUCCGGGAGGGCGCUUACCACUUUGUGAUUCAUGACUGGGGUGAAGUCGUAACAAGGUAACCAAGGGCGAAUUCCAG
Molecule: ribosomal RNA, 654 nt
Filed under: uncultured Pantoea sp.
Lineage: Bacteria; Pseudomonadati; Pseudomonadota; Gammaproteobacteria; Enterobacterales; Erwiniaceae
Description: bacterial SSU rRNA
Rfam family: Bacterial small subunit ribosomal RNA
Source: RNAcentral